AUGCUUGCUUCAGUAGCAUGGAUACAAAAAUUGGAAGAAUACAGAGCAGAUUAGCAUGACCCUUGCGCAGGAAUGAUAUGCAAAUUUGCAAAUGUUCUACAUAAAC
Gracilinanus agilis (Agile Gracile Mouse Opossum) is the source of this 106-nucleotide small nuclear RNA. The record is from RefSeq and is a predicted model, not a curated record. NCBI's taxonomy places the organism in Eukaryota, Metazoa, Chordata, Mammalia, Didelphimorphia, Didelphidae.